AUGAACGAAGGUGCUGUGAUUCUGUGUCUCCCACGCAGUCCUACACAAAUUCUCUCUUUGUCUCCUCCACAGCUUCUCUCUGCCUCCCACUCUCUCCUCCACAGCUUAUCCCUGUCUCCUACUCUCUCCUCCACAGCUUAUCCGUCUCCUACUCUCUCCCCCACAGCUUAUCCCUGUCUCCUACUCUCUCCCCCACAGCUUAUCCCUGUCUCCUACUCUCUCCUCCACAGCUUAUCCCUGUCUCAAACUCUCUCCUCCACAGCUUAUCCCUGUCUCCUACUCUCUCCCCCACAGCUUAUCCCCGUCUCCUACUCUCUCCUCCACAGCUUAUCCCUGUCUCCUACUCUCUCCUCCACAGCUUAUCCCUGUCUCCUACUCUCUCCUCCACAGCUUAUCCGUCUCCUACUCUCUCCCCCACAGCUUAUCCCUGUCUCCUACUCUCUCCCCCACAGCUUAUCCCUGUCUCCUACUCUCUCCUCCACAGCUUAUCCCUGUCUCAAACUCUCUCCUCCACAGCUUAUCCCUGUCUCCUACUCUCUCCCCCACAGCUUAUCCCCGUCUCCUACUCUCUCCUCCACAGCUUAUCCCUGUCUCCUACUCUCUCCUCCACAGCUUAUCCCUGUCUCCUACUCUCUCCCCCACAGCUCAUCCCUGUCUCCUACUCUCUCCCCCACAGCUUAUCCCUGUCUCCUACUCUCUCCCCCACAGCUUAUCCCUGCCUCCCACUCUCUCCUCCACAGCGUAUCCCUGUCUCCCACUCUCUCCUCCACAGCGUAUCCCUGUCUCCUACUCUCUCCCCCACAGCUUAUCCCUGUCUCCUACUCUCUCCCCCACAGCUUAUCCCUGCCUCCCACUCUCUCCUCCACAGCUUAUCCCUGUCUCCUACUCUCUCCCCCACAGCUUCUCUCUGCCUCCCACUCUCUCCUCCACAGCUUAUCUCUGUCUCCUACUCUCUCCUCCACAGCUUAUCCCUGUCUCCUACUCUCUCCUCCACAGCUUAUCCCUGUCUCCUACUCUCUCCUCCACAGCUUAUCCCUGUCUCCUACUCUCUCCUCCACAGCUUCUCUCUGCCUCCUACUCUCUCCUCCACAGCUUCUCCCUGUCUCCUACUCUCUCCUCCACAGCUUAUCCCUGUCUCCUACUCUCUCCUCCACAGCUUAUCUGUCUCCUACUCUCUCCUCCACAGCUUAUCCCUGUCUCCUACUCUCUCCUCCACAGCUUAUCUCUGUCUCCUACUCUCUCCACUCUGUUGGGUCCAGCACUACUGUAGUACACCUCCACCAUGGCAUCUUUGGAGGUCAGCAAGGUGACCACGCUCUCGGUCCUUGUGAUGAGGUCAUAGCCCAGGCAGAACACACUGAACAGCACAGCGAGCCCCAGCACACAAAUCGCAAUCUGCGCCACGUGAACAGACUCCUCUCGCUGGUCGCCAGCCCCGUCUAUUAUCACCCCUGGGGAGAGGACAUAACAGCAGGCACCUACGAUACCGUUCCCCACACGUCUGGCACUACAGGAGAACAUUUGACCUGUCCUGGCAUUAGCUCUCCACACCCUAAAAUACAUCUUAGGGAAGUUCAAGACAGAAGUCUGAAUGAAAUUGAUGUCUGA
Long non-coding RNA from Salmo trutta (river trout), 1608 nucleotides. The record is from Ensembl. NCBI's taxonomy places the organism in Eukaryota, Metazoa, Chordata, Actinopteri, Salmoniformes, Salmonidae.